Molecule: ribosomal RNA, 467 nt
Filed under: uncultured bacterium
Lineage: Bacteria
Description: partial 16S ribosomal RNA
Rfam family: Bacterial small subunit ribosomal RNA
Source: RNAcentral
GACGAACGCUGGCGGCGUGCUUAACACAUGCAAGUCGAACGGAAAGGCCCUGCUUUUGUGGGGUGCUCGAGUGGCGAACGGGUGAGUAACACGUGAGUAACCUGCCCUUGACUUUGGGAUAACUUCAGGAAACUGGGGCUAAUACCGGAUAGGAGCUCCUGCUGCAUGGUGGGGGUUGGAAAGUUUCGGCGGUUGGGGAUGGACUCGCGGCUUAUCAGCUUGUUGGUGGGGUAGUGGCUUACCAAGGCUUUGACGGGUAGCCGGCCUGAGAGGGUGACCGGCCACAUUGGGACUGGGAUACGGCCCAGACUCCUACGGGAGGCAGCAGUGGGGAAUAUUGCACAAUGGGCGGAAGCCGGAUGCAGCAACGCCGCGUGCGGGAUGACGGCUUUCGGGUUGUAAACCGCUUUCGCCUGUGACGAAGCGUGAGUGACGGUAAUGGGUAAAGAAGCACCGGCUAACUACGU